GGGGUUGUGGCUCAGUGGUAGAGCACUUGCCUAGCAUGUCUGAGACACUGGGUUCGUUUCUCAGCACCUCA
RNAcentral lists this transfer RNA (71 nucleotides) under Ictidomys tridecemlineatus (thirteen-lined ground squirrel). RNAcentral describes it as "Spermophilus tridecemlineatus (thirteen-lined ground squirrel) tRNA". It matches the Rfam family "tRNA". Rfam says of the family: Transfer RNA (tRNA) molecules are approximately 80 nucleotides in length. Their secondary structure includes four short double-helical elements and three loops (D, anti-codon, and T loops). Further hydrogen bonds mediate the characteristic L-shaped molecular structure. tRNAs have two regions of fundamental functional importance: the anti-codon, which is responsible for specific mRNA codon recognition, and the 3' end, to which the tRNAs corresponding amino acid is attached (by aminoacyl-tRNA synthetases). tRNAs cope with the degeneracy of the genetic code in two manners: having more than one tRNA (with a specific anti-codon) for a particular amino acid; and 'wobble' base-pairing, i.e. permitting non-standard base-pairing at the 3rd anti-codon position. The record is from Rfam by way of RNAcentral. Lineage: Eukaryota; Metazoa; Chordata; Mammalia; Rodentia; Sciuridae.